GACGAACGCUGGCGGCGUGCCUAACACAUGCAAGUCGAGCGAUGAAGCUUCUUCGGAAGUGGAUUAGCGGCGGACGGGUGAGUAACACGUGGGUAACCUGCCUCAUAGUGGGGAAUAGCCUUUCGAAAGGAAGAUUAAUACCGCAUAAGAUUGUAGCUUCGCAUGAAGUAGCAAUUAAAGGAUUUAUUCGCUAUGAGAUGGACCCGCGGCGCAUUAGCUAGUUGGUGAGGUAACGGCUCACCAAGGCGACGAUCAGUAGCCGGUCUGAGAGGUUGAACGGCCACAUUGGGACUGAGACACGGCCCAGACUCCUACGGGAGGCAGCAGUGGGGAAUAUUGCACAAUGGGGGAAACCCUGAUGCAGCGACGCCGCGUGAGCGAAGAAGUAUUUCGGUAUGUAAAGCUCUAUCAGCAGGGAAGAAGAAAUGACGGUACCUGACUAAGAAGCACCGGCUAAAUACGUG
RNAcentral lists this ribosomal RNA (464 nucleotides) under uncultured bacterium. RNAcentral's name for it is "bacterial SSU rRNA". It matches the Rfam family "Bacterial small subunit ribosomal RNA", at positions 28 to 507 of the family's 1533-position model. The record is from RNAcentral.